Long non-coding RNA from Hypanus sabinus (Atlantic stingray), 2268 nucleotides. RefSeq lists it as uncharacterized. The record is from RefSeq and is a predicted model, not a curated record. NCBI's taxonomy places the organism in Eukaryota, Metazoa, Chordata, Chondrichthyes, Myliobatiformes, Dasyatidae. The transcript has 3 exons.
AUACAGAUUAGCAAAGAACAUGAAAAGUAUGUACUUUAAUAUGAAGAAACUAACUGCUAGAGUCUGAGAGAAGAAUAAAAAAACGAGCUGCUGGAGGAAAUUGGCAGGUCAAGCAGCAUCUGUAGAAAGAAAUAGAGAGUUGGCAUUUUAGAUCAUACUGGAUUUGUACCCAAGUAUAUUAUUUUGGAAUCCAUUAUGGUAUGUACUGUAUGUGCACAUCUGUGAGAUUUGCCCUGUGAUCUGCUAUGACAAUUCUAAUGUGUUAUUAUUCCAGCUGUGUCUACAAGUUAAUUGAUUAAUUCUAUCCCACCAUUCACAACUGGUUGUGGUAGACCAUGGAGCUUUGAUCUGAUCUGCUCAUUGGAAACUGCCUUGCCUGCCCCAAGCAUUUUUAUUUUACUGAUAGCAAUCAUGCAGUCCUGUGCCACAGUUUUACUAGGCUGGUACUUUUUUAGAUGCUGCUCUUGGCAUGCCUUUCUGCACUCCUAAGCCAGAUAAAAAUGGUUGAGGAAAGUACUGAGCCAUUUCUCACAGUCUCAUGGACAUCAUUUUGGAGAUGUCAGGCCUGUUCUGAGUUUAAUGUACCUAGCACAAUUAUAAUGCCACCUAACAUGAUGGGGUGGGAGAACUUGAUGUGAUGAUGUGAUAUUGGCUCCCCAUAAGUACUGUUCAAUAGUCACUUCCACCAAUGCUAUCAAGGAGAGAUGCAUCCAUCACAGUUAGACUGGUAAAGGUGAGGUCAAAUAGGUACAUCCCUCCUGUUUGGUCACUCACCACCUCCCACACAUUCAUGCGACAGCUGUGUCUCUCAGGAUUCAGCCAGCUCAGUUCAUGAUGGUGCUAUGAAGCCACUGUUGCUGAUGGACAUUGAAGUCCCCCGCCAAGAGCACGUUCCAUGUAUUUGUAACUUUGUGGUUUCUCCCCCAAACGUUCAACAUGGAGAAGCACUGAGGGAAGAUGACAGGUGGAAAUCAGAAGGCAGUUUAUUUGCUCAUGUUUCUGGUGCCAUGAGACUUCAGAGGGUUUGCCAUCAAUGUUGAGAACACCAAGGUUUGCUCUUUGCUGCCUCUGUACCACUACUUCUGACAGGCCUGUCUUGCUGUUGAGACAGGAUUAUGGUGGAGGACAUAUUGCCUAUUACGUAUGCUUCUGAAUCAUAAUCAGGUUUAAUAUCACUGACAUAAAUCAUGAAAUGUAGUGUUGUGGUGUAAUGCUUACAAAUAUAGAUUACAAUAAGAAACAUAAAAAUAAAUAAUUAGUGCAAAAAUAGUGAAGGAAUAUCCAUGGAUUCAUGGACAAUUCAGAAAUCUGAUGGUGGAGAGGAAGAAGCUGUGGAAUAGCUGAUAAUCUGGACAUCUGAUAAUUUGUGAGGAGCAAGUUUGCUGUGUCCAUCAGUGUAUGGGUAGAGGUCAGACGUUCACCUAGUUUUGCCCUUUCUCUAUUUUAACAUAGAUUGCUGGGCCACCUAAAAGUCAAUCCACGCUCCAUGAGCCAGACAAGGUUACUACAUCUGGGAAGAGUUGACAAGACUGAAGGUCAAGUGCCUCACACUGACAUUUCAACAGCUGCUCCUCUUCCUCUGCUAUUGUUGGAAAUAAGCUUUGGUAGCCAUCCAUUGAUGAGUCGAAAUGUACAAUGGGGCACCUUGCAGCAAUUAAUUCCAAGCACCUUCAUGUACAGCUUAGUCUGACCUUACUACUGCAGCUUAGUGGAUGGAGAACAGUACAAGAGGUAAAGCCUUCAACUACUAACAUACUUAACUCAGUAAACAGUUUUCUUUAAAAUUAAAUGGUUAAGAAUCCAACUCCCCACAUUGUGAAUUAAAGCUCUAUGUACAUUGUUAUUUUGAUUCAUGGUUAGAAAGAUGACAGCUUUCAUGCAAUGGUUUUAAAACAGUCCCUUGAAUGGUAGUUUGCUGCAUGUACCAGUCUGUGGUUUCCUCACAGACUAUGACCGUCAGUGCCCAGCUAUGGUGUUAAGCUGACAUAUUAAACUUCUGCCUUGAAUGCAAUUUGUGUUGUCCAGUGACUUGUAAAGGAAAGUGGAUUUUGUUGAUUGCAGGUUUUGGACAUAAAUUCCUCUAGAGGUGGAAUUUGGACUAAGGUACUACAAUCUUCGAAUACGUAGCUUAGAGAUUUACAAUAUUGGGAUUUGGAACUAUCUCUGUCAAAAGUCAAUUGACAAUUUCAAGACUCAGCUCAUCAGAUUUGUAUCAGGCUGAGCACUAGGGGUAGGUAUUAAAUACCUGAUAAAGGGAGCUGGGGUACA